Molecule: ribosomal RNA, 791 nt
Filed under: uncultured bacterium
Lineage: Bacteria
Description: bacterial SSU rRNA
Rfam family: Bacterial small subunit ribosomal RNA
Source: RNAcentral
AGAGUUUGAUCCUGGCUCAGAUUGAACGCUGGCGGUAUGCUUUACACAUGCAAGUCGAACGGAUUAUGGAGCUUGCUCCAUAGUUAGUGGCGAACGGGUGAGUAAUAUAUCGGAACAUAUCCGGAAGUGGGGGAUAACGUAGCGAAAGUUACGCUAAUACCGCAUAUGCCCUGAGGGGGAAAGGGGGGGAUCGCAAGACCUCUCGCUUUCGGAGUGGCCGAUAUCGGAUUAGCUAGAUGGUGAGGUAAAGGCUCACCAUGGCGACGAUCCGUAGCUGGUCUGAGAGGACGACCAGCCACACUGGAACUGAGACACGGUCCAGACUCCUACGGGAGGCAGCAGUGGGGAAUUUUGGACAAUGGGCGAAAGCCUGAUCCAGCCAUACCGCGUGAGUGAAGAAGGCCUUCGGGUUGUAAAGCUCUUUCAGCCGGAAAGAAAUUGCUUCUAUUAAUACUAGGAGUAGAUGACGGUACCGGAAGAAGAAGCACCGGCUAACUACGUGCCAGCAGCCGCGGUAAUACGUAGGGUGCGAGCGUUAAUCGGAAUUACUGGGCGUAAAGCGUGCGCAGGCGGUUUUUUAAGCCAGAUGUGAAAUCCCCGGGCUCAACCUGGGAACUGCAUUUGGAACUGGAAGACUAGAGUGUAGCAGAGGGGGGUAGAAUUCCACGUGUAGCAGUGAAAUGCGUAGAUAUGUGGAGGAAUACCAAUGGCGAAGGCAGCCCCCUGGGUUAACACUGACGCUCAUGCACGAAAGCGUGGGGAGCAAACAGGAUUAGAUACCCUGGUAGUCC